This is an RNA transcript of Capsicum annuum, 2036 nucleotides long. RefSeq lists it as uncharacterized. The transcript is spliced from 4 exons. Lineage: Eukaryota; Viridiplantae; Streptophyta; Magnoliopsida; Solanales; Solanaceae. The record is from RefSeq and is a predicted model, not a curated record.
GGAUUGUACUUUAAACUUGUACAUGCUGACUUAGUUAUGUUUGGGAUUUUCCACUUCUAGAGAAGCCACGUGGCUGUCUAUAUCCCAAUCUCCACCAACAGCCAGCGACCACCGGCCGGUGAAGCCUCUACAACAACAACCACAGCCACCUCCUGCCGACGUUCCCAAUGCCAGCAGCAGACGGCGGAGCAGCCAUACUUGUCUCCGCUCUCCCCGCCGGCGAUCACCACUCCAGCAAGUUCGGAGCCGCCGCUGCCAGUCAACAUCACCCCCCGUAGCCCUCUACCGCCGCCGCUACUCCUGUCAAACCCGCCAUAAAUACAUAAUCAAAUCCAUCCUGGGUUUGAUUUCAUGUGCAAUAUAUUAUCAUCUUCUAUCCUUUCAUUUUUUUCUAAGAUAGAUUUGGUGAUUGACGGAACUUGUUUGAGGUUUUUGAUCUAAUUUUUCAUAGUUUGAGUUUGUUAACUUGCUUAGAUUACCCUAUACUAAAAGCCCUAAAUUUUCCUGAUUUUCUAUGACACAAAAUUUGAAAGGCACCAAUUUGUUCACGACUUGCCCUCUUUACUUAAAUAAAUUUGAAAUGACUCGGUAUCUCAAUUAUUAAUUGAUAAUAUACGUUAUUUUUAAUUAUGGAAGGAAAUUAAGAUUGAUUGGUAUUUGCCUUUUCUUUUUUGCCCUUGACUGAAUGAUUUUAUAUGGAAAUAUUAUUGGUUGAUUGCACCAAAUAAUCUUCUUCCUUUUAUCAUCUGCAGCCCCUUUCACUAUAUAUGGACCCUCUUUUCCAUUAUAUUGGACAGACAUCUUCUCAGCCAUUACUCUCGAUAGAUAUAUUUCUCAAGUUCUCUGAUGCUGGCUGGAUUCUAACAAAGCAUUCGGCUUCUCUCAUCACCGCAAUUACUUUGUUUAUGUCUUUUGUCAUUUCAUUUGCUGCUAACUGGUGUUCUUGACUUGGCUUGGUUGAUUAUCUCUUUGUGCAUAAUGACAGUGUAAAUUAUCAUUUAUAUCAUCAGUUUAAAUUAAAUUGAGCAGUUUGCGCUCUUGAUUCCCAGCAAUGACGUGCUUUAGUGACUGUGAGACGCCAAACGCUUGCAAUGAGGUCAUGGAUAAUAAGUAAAAUUCAUGUGUCAACGCUCUCACCUUGAAAGUUCAUUCUCCGAUGAUUGCAGCCUAGCAAGAAGAAAAUAUCAGUAACACAGAGGAAAAGAAGUAGCAUAGAGGAAGGGGAGGAGAAAGGGAAUUGUGCAACUAUUGACUACUUCAAUAAGCUAUCUGCUGAUGUUAUAACCUCUCUUUUUCUAAGGUGCCCGCUGAGGUCAUUAUUCAUGUUAAGGUGCACAUCCAAGUACUGGAAUGACUUUAUUAUUAGUCCGUCCUUCCUUCAUUCUCACCUCAGACAAUCAACAGAAAAUGCCCCCAACUUCUUUUUAUGGAGAAGAACUUCUUGCACCGAUCAGAAAGGUCCAGGCUGCGAUUUGUUUCGGUCGACAUGGAUGGAAGCACGGAGGAGCUAUACACUGCCACAGUCCCUGAUGGGCAACUUGCUUGUAGCACAAUGCAAGUAUGCUAUGAUUUGGUUUGCCUUCCAACGGAUUGUCGUGCUUAUUUGUGCAAUCCUGCCAUGCAACAAUUGUGUGAAUUGCCGAAAUGUUCACCUUCUGCUACCCCUGGAUAUUACCAUUUGGGGUUUGGAUAUCUUCAGUCAAGGAAGGACAUUUUUUCUGUAGGGGUCCCCGGUGUCUUCCUGGCAAACUUCAGCUUGCUCAACUAAAAUGUGAGGUUCUUACUCUAAAUAGGGUUGGUGACAUUUCUUUGAAUAAAUGAAAGAAAUUUCAGACACAUCUUCUGAUCAUCCGUGCUUGCCAGGUCUGUUAGUUAAUGAAUGUAUGUAGUGGUUGACUCAAUGUUUUCCUUAUGCCCAUACUAAUUGAAUUAUUUCACUUGACUUUGAAAAUGAAAAAUUAAUGACUGUACACCCCAUUUGUAAGUAUUUUUGGCCUGGCUCUAAUGGAUUUGAAAGGGAUGCUUUGCUUGCCGGA